Gallus gallus (chicken) is the source of this 1942-nucleotide long non-coding RNA. NCBI's taxonomy places the organism in Eukaryota, Metazoa, Chordata, Aves, Galliformes, Phasianidae. The record is from Ensembl.
UUUCUAGUUGUAGAUUCUGCUCUUGUGGAGUCUUUCUUGUAAGCCAAGAUCUCCAGAAAUGGGUGAGCACUUUUACUUUUCCUUUGAAAUACCAUUCUAUCUAUGCUAGUCCCUUUGCUGUUAUGCUCCUGUAUCACUCUUCUUUUGUGUUAAUCUUUCUAAUUUCAGCAGUGGUUAAAAGCUGAAGAAAGAUUAGAGCCAGCCUUAUUCUAUCAGCGUUGACCUAUUCUGUUCAGCUAAAAUUUGGUGAAACAUGGAUUGUAAAACCAUAAAACAUCUCAAUUAGUUUUUGUUGGCUGGCCAGGCAAACCUGUUAUUUGACAGUGCAUAAUGAUCCUGAAUUGUAAACUUCAUCAUUCACAGGUUGUGAGAAAAUGGGCACAAGUACUGUUUGCUAACCUUCACUAGAUAAUUUUUCACAGUUAUCAUCCAGAAAGCAUAAAAGAUAUGUUAUCUUUGAGCUUGGUUUGUCAUAAUAUAGGUGAGAUUUCGUAUAAAGCCACUUAGUAUGUGACUGUUUUGUGUUCUUCAAAAUAAGUCGAAUCAGUAAAAUAUCUUUUUGACAUUUGAAGUGUUGAGAAUAAUAUGACACCUCUCCUUUCAGAGACUAAUAUGUUAUCAUUCUGCUCUGGUUUACCUUUUCUUGACACCCACUGCUCUACAACUCUAAAAACACCUCCUAGCUUCAUUUGAUAUGUAAUACAAUAUUUGCAUUAAUACCUGAAGCCGGAGUCAAACAUUCCAAAUUGACUUGUGUUUUUCCAAGUACCAACAAGUGUUUGGAAUUUUCCUCUCACUGGUAAGGUAUGUAGAUGUUUGAUGAGGAAAUUUUGGCUUAUGUUAACUAUUCAUGUGGUAUCAGAUGAGUGGUUUUUAUCAGAGUUUGAAAAACAGAUCAGCCUCAUUUCUGUUUUCCUACAUGAAAUUCAUUUCACAUGUAGACUUGAAGACUGGUUUCAUAGGUCCCUGGUUUUCCCCCCCCCCCAGAAAGGCCUUAUUCUUCUCUUUUAGAAGAGACCCAGAUCUACAGAAAUGCAAUUUCAACUGAAGUAUGUCUGGCAACCUGCAUGGAAAUUCACUGCCAGUGAUAUGCCAAGCUUGACAGUUUUGAUGCUAAAUCUUAAAGUUCAAAUUCUAUCUAAAUCUAUCACUGAUUCUUAUUUAACUGUUGUGUCCGUUACACUGCUGAGGAAAAGAAGUUACUCUUUGGAUAACCAACAGAUGCAUAAAUAGGACAAGUAAGUAUCAGGUUUCUGGAGCUUCUUCUGGGACCUUGCAGUUAUCAGAAGAGCUGAAAAGAACUUGAAACAGGCAAUUGAUGGCCAAAGCUAAAAAACAGGAAGAUGUUAGAGUGCUAUGUAUUCCAUUCUCUAAAAUGGGACAAACAGAACUAAUGCUACUGAUGGAAUCAUAAUUUUGUCCUACAUCUAGGUUAGCCAGAGCUUUGUGUUGAUGUAAACAAUUGUCAUCCUGAUAGCUUUAUAUUGAAGUUAACUAAAGGACCAGCAAUGUGAAAAUCCAAGUUCUCACAAAUCCAUUUAGUUAAAUGUGAGCUGGAUAAGCUUAGUCUGUAGCAUUUUACUGAAUCAGGCUGAUGUAAUAGCAUGUCCCUAGCUUACAUCCUAUUUUUUUCUUGGUCUAAAUCUGUUCCUCUCAGGAGCCAAAGCCCUAUGUUUCUCCAAUGCCUGGUUGCUGCUAUAUUCCUCCUCUAAGAACUAGCAGAGGUUUCAGUCACUGGGCAAUGUGAAGAACAACAACAAUCUACAUAAGCAGUGUGUGCAGGUCUACUCUUUCCACAUCUGAAGUUAAAAUAACUGAACUACUAUCUGGGCCACAUCACAUACACAUGUAAGCUGUGUAACCCAGAACUUGCUAAUAGCAAAUUAAAGCUGUCAAAAUUAUUCCAGAGGUGUCAGCCUAUGUCUCAAUAAAACAAUUACAG